UGCGAAAGAGGAAGUCUGCCCAGAGCCGGCUCUCGCUUGCUGUCUCUGCUAGAGUCAGUGAAACUCUGCGUAACCCUGAUGCCCAGCACCAGGGCCGGAUUUAGGGGCAGGCGACCGCCAGGGAUGCUGGGCUUGGGGGGCGCCAGGCUCGGGGUGCUGGUUUUGUUGUUAGCGACAAAAGGGAAAAUCGAAUGUUUGGAGUAAAAUGUUUCAGAAGAAACGUCCCCGAGGGAGGUUUUUUUUAUCGCUCGUGGUCCCUGCUCAAGCGUCUAUCGAAGAAAGGUUCGGACCAAUGAAGCACCACGAAAAGACCUGGGGGGUUCGUACGACUUUAGCAAGCAUCCGGCGGACGGGAAAACACUGCUGAGCCAUCGUACGGACCUUCCCUGGGCGCUGACGCAGGGGGACUGCUCGCACGUCAGUGGUAACGACCUCUCUGUCGAAUCGGACAACAUCCGUCCCGUUUGGCCACACGGGACGCGCCCUCCACUCCAAGUUCUCCAACACGCGCGUGGUGCAGAGCUGCAGGACACGGCUCCUAACGUGUGGGCGGCUCCGAGGGUUCUGCUCACGCGGCUGCUCACAGUCGUGUGCGGUGAGCGGAGCUUUUCCAAGCUCACGCUCAUUAAAACAGGUCUGUGAUCGCCGAUGGCCAAUGAGAGACGGACGUCGCUCGCUAUUUUAUCGCUUGAAAAUGCCAAUGGCCAGUCCUUGGCUCCCGCUCGGAUGCUGUACUUCAGUUCGGGCGGGCGAAGAAAUGGAAAGGUGGGACAGAAAGGAGAGUGAGGAGAGCAUUCAAAAGGCCCAUGAGCGGAUGAUAAAAGUCAUGGAGGAGCAAACAGAAAUGCUGAAGUCUCUCAUCACUCUUCAGUCAGAACAGAUGUGUGCUUGCCCCCCUCUGCAGCUGAUACAGAACUGUUAUCCAUGCCCUCCCCAAACUUCUUCCACACAUUCCUUUGAACUUUACGGAACAUCUCGGUAUCCUGUUCACUCCAUCCCUUCGGACAGCUUCCAAAAUGAUAGCUGGACUCACACAGGGCUAUGACAACCUCCACUGCCCUGCACUACUGCCACACUUCCCACCAAGUCUUCUUUGUGUGUUAA
Long non-coding RNA from Chelonia mydas (Green sea turtle), 1104 nucleotides. RefSeq lists it as uncharacterized. The transcript is spliced from 2 exons. The record is from RefSeq and is a predicted model, not a curated record. Lineage: Eukaryota; Metazoa; Chordata; Testudines; Cheloniidae.